RNAcentral lists this transfer RNA (70 nucleotides) under Merluccius polli (Benguela hake). RNAcentral describes it as "tRNA-Asp". It matches the Rfam family "tRNA". From Rfam's summary of the family: Transfer RNA (tRNA) molecules are approximately 80 nucleotides in length. Their secondary structure includes four short double-helical elements and three loops (D, anti-codon, and T loops). The record is from RNAcentral. Lineage: Eukaryota; Metazoa; Chordata; Actinopteri; Gadiformes; Merlucciidae.
GGACUUCUGGUGAAAUAAUCACACUGCCUUGUCGAGGCACAGUUGCGGGUUUGAACCCCGCGUAGCCCCA